Molecule: transfer RNA, 84 nt
Organism: Aspergillus clavatus NRRL 1
Lineage: Eukaryota; Fungi; Ascomycota; Eurotiomycetes; Eurotiales; Aspergillaceae
Rfam family: tRNA
About the family: Transfer RNA (tRNA) molecules are approximately 80 nucleotides in length. Their secondary structure includes four short double-helical elements and three loops (D, anti-codon, and T loops). Further hydrogen bonds mediate the characteristic L-shaped molecular structure. tRNAs have two regions of fundamental functional importance: the anti-codon, which is responsible for specific mRNA codon recognition, and the 3' end, to which the tRNAs corresponding amino acid is attached (by aminoacyl-tRNA synthetases). tRNAs cope with the degeneracy of the genetic code in two manners: having more than one tRNA (with a specific anti-codon) for a particular amino acid; and 'wobble' base-pairing, i.e. permitting non-standard base-pairing at the 3rd anti-codon position.
Source: Rfam
GGUCCCAUGGUCUAGUGGUUAUGACUUCGGAUUUUGACUUGUGUUAGUUUUCCGGCAACUCGGGUUCGAUUCCCGAUGGGACCU